ACAGCCUAAAAGGAUUUGAAGCCCUCAGUCCAACACCCAACAAGGAAUGGAAUGCUGCCAUCAACCACAUAAGCUUAGACACCGAUCCUUCCCCAGUUGAAUGUUUGAAUGAGGAUCCAUCCCUGGCCAAUAUCUUGAUUGAAGCCUUAGAGAGGACCCAAUUAAGCCAUGUCCUGACUCCUGACCUACAGAACCUCUGAGGGUCACCCAGGUCACAGGCAGGAGAAGGGACAUAUGGCACAACUUGAGGAAACACCGCUGCCCAGUGGGGACCAACCACAUAAUUUUCUGGAUAAGCCUGAUGCCUAGGAGGACUAUGGUUUUUGGAAAAGCACAUUUCUUACGUUGAACUGAAUUUUGCCUUGGGCUUGUCCUGUUGCUCAGAAAUAAGACACUCUCUGCAACAAGCGCUGGAGAGGUCUCUGCUGUACAUUUGCUUCAGGGUUUUUCCUCAACUAUCUGUGCCUGAACAAACACAAAAACUGCAGUUCUUGGCUUCCUGCCCAUCUGGAGCGGGGAAGCAUCCUGCUACAUCGGCAAGAUAUCAACCGGAGUUUACAGGAAAGUGAACAAGAAUGGCCUCUUAUCCACGUCUGGAGAAAAAUCCCUCCCAGGAUUUGAGGUCUGCUGUGAACCACAGAGAAAACACCUUAUCGGUUUUGGGGAGAGACCCAGAAGAACUGGGAGCCAUAGGCCACGCUGUGAACAUUUCACCAUUCCCAGAGAGCCCAAGAUCUGAGUCUGCUCCUUGGGGUGGAGGUCUUGGUCUACAGUCAGCCCUACUCUUGGAGGAAGAUGAUUCUGUCCCAUGCAGACCAUGGAGGAGGCAGGAGUGGGAGGUUAUGAAGUGCCCGGCGUGAGCCAUUUGAAGACACUCAUCCUACUGAAGAUAAAUCUCAUUUCUAAUCCGGAUGCAGAGCAAUGUUUUGUGCAAAGGAAAGGAAGCCCUUACACCACCCUGAUGACAGCCAUAUAAAUCACAGGCUUUAUUCCUCUGCUGUAAGGGGCAUUACAGAUAGGAGCAACAUUGCAGACUCUCUUUGGGUGAUGCUUCAUUACUUGGCGGAAAAUCCCCAGAGCCGAAACAUUAUUUAAAUGUGCUAUGAAA
Delphinapterus leucas (beluga whale) is the source of this 1108-nucleotide non-coding RNA. The record is from RefSeq and is a predicted model, not a curated record. NCBI's taxonomy places the organism in Eukaryota, Metazoa, Chordata, Mammalia, Artiodactyla, Monodontidae.